RNAcentral lists this non-coding RNA (85 nucleotides) under Lotharella globosa. The record is from RNAcentral. Lineage: Eukaryota; Cercozoa; Chlorarachniophyceae.
UUUAAGAAUAUGGCGGAGUAGGGGCUUCUUUCUCUCUUUUUGCUUUCCGUCUUUCUUUCUUUCUUUUUUCUUCCUUUCUUUCUUC